GUAAUAGCUCACUGGUCAAGUGGUUCUGCGCCGACAAUGUAGCGGGGCUCAAGCGCACCGCCGAAGCCGUGGCAGCAGCGCGUUGUCGCCCUCCUCCCCCCUGUUGGAUGGGGUGGUGGGUGCGCUGCUGGGUAGGGGAGCGUCCUGCGCGGGGCGAAGCCCGGGGGUGACCCCUGGUGGACCGCGUGGGAGUGAGAAUGCAGGCAUGAGUAACGAAUUCUGCGGUGGGAAUCCGCAGCGCCGAUUGACUAAGGGUUCCAGGGCCAGGUUCAUCCGCCCUGGGUUAGUCGGGUCCUAAGGCGAGGCCGACAGGCGUAGUCGAUGGUCGACCAGUUGAUAUUCUGGUACCGCGCGGCGACCGCCAGUGCCGAUACCGCUGUGCUAACCGCCCGCACCGCCCCCUCCUGCGCUUUCGGGCGCGGGGGUGGGGGGUGUCGCGGGGCCCCGGUGGUGGAGGCAAGCGUGUUGACAGGGGUGACGCAGGAAGGUAGCCGCAAUGCGCCGGUGGUUGUGCGUAUUCAAGGCUGUGGCCCGUCCCCCAGGCAAAUCCGGGGGGCAUGUGGGUGAGGGCUGAGGAGGGACACACGCGUGUGUGGACUUGUGGUGAUCCUAUGCUGCCGAGAAAAACCCCGACGUGAGGGCGCCGCGCGCCCGUACCCCAAACCGACUCAGGUGGUCAGGUAGAGCAUACCGAGGCGUUCGAGUGAAUCAUGGUUAAGGAACUCGGCAAAAUUCCUCCGUAACUUCGGGAUAAGGAGGACCCCUUGGCCUGCCCCCGCCGCGCGCGGGGGCGGGGCCGGGGGGUCGCAGAGAAUAGGGAGAAGCGACUGUUUAUCAAAAACACAGGUGCGUGCGAAGCCGCAAGGCGAUGUAUACGCACUGACGCCUGCCCGGUGCUGGAAGGUCAAGAGGAGCCCUCAGCCCCCUGCGGGGGGCGAAGGGGCGAAUUCAAGCCCCAGUAAACGGCGGUGGUAACUAUAACCAUCCUAAGGUAGCGAAAUUCCUUGUCGGGUAAGUUCCGACCUGCACGAAUGGCGUAACGACUUCUCCGCUGUCUCAACCGUGAACUCGGUGAAAUUGCAGUACGAGUAAAGAUGCUCGUUUCGCGCAGAAGGACGGAAAGACCCCGGGACCUUUACUAUAGCUUGGUAUUGGUGUCCGCUUGUGCUUGUGUAGGAUAGGUGGGAGACUGUGAAGCGGCCGCGCCAGCGGUGGUGGAGUCGUCGUUGAAAUACCAUUCUGGUUCAAGCGGGCGCCUGAACCUGGGCCCGUGAUCCGGGCCGGGGACAGUGCCUGGUGGGUAGUUUAACUGGGGCGGUUGCCUCCUAAAGAGUAACGGAGGCGCUCAAAGGUCCCCUCAGCCUGGUUGGCAAUCAGGUGGCGAGUGCAAGUGCACAAGGGGGCUUGACUGUGAGACCGACGGGUCGAGCAGGUGCGAAAGCAGGAACUAGUGAUCC
RNAcentral lists this ribosomal RNA (1457 nucleotides) under human oral metagenome. RNAcentral's name for it is "bacterial LSU rRNA". It matches the Rfam family "Bacterial large subunit ribosomal RNA", at positions 1134 to 2421 of the family's 2925-position model. The record is from RNAcentral.